UGAGUUGGUUAUCAUUGUUGCAAUGUAAGUAACAGUAACGAUGUUAGUCAAUGCA
This 55-nucleotide microRNA precursor is filed under the name Ciona intestinalis (vase tunicate). Its description in RNAcentral is "microRNA cin-mir-4003c precursor". Lineage: Eukaryota; Metazoa; Chordata; Ascidiacea; Phlebobranchia; Cionidae. The record is from miRBase by way of RNAcentral.